This 208-nucleotide microRNA precursor is filed under the name Oryza nivara. RNAcentral describes it as "MIR812 microRNA precursor family". It matches the Rfam family "MIR812 microRNA precursor family". The record is from Rfam by way of RNAcentral. Lineage: Eukaryota; Viridiplantae; Streptophyta; Magnoliopsida; Poales; Poaceae.
AAAAAGACAAAUCCUGAGUUUCCGUGUCCAACGUUUAACUGUCCGUCUUAUAUGAAUUUUUUUAUAAUUAGUAUUUUUAUUGUUGUUAGAUGAUAAAACAUGAUUAAUACUUUAUGCGUGACUUGUCUUUUUAAUUUUUUUUUCAUAAUUUUUUGAAAUAAGACGGACGGUCAAACGUUGGACACGGAAACCCAGGGUUUGUCUUUUU